RNAcentral lists this ribosomal RNA (710 nucleotides) under uncultured bacterium. Its description in RNAcentral is "bacterial SSU rRNA". It matches the Rfam family "Bacterial small subunit ribosomal RNA", at positions 59 to 760 of the family's 1533-position model. The record is from RNAcentral.
AAGUCGAGCGGUAGCACAGGGAGCUUGCUCCUGGGUGACGAGCGGCGGACGGGUGAGUAAUGUCUGGGAAACUGCCUGAUGGAGGGGGAUAACUACUGGAAACGGUAGCUAAUACCGCAUAACGUCGCAAGACCAAAGAGGGGGACCUUCGGGCCUCUUGCCAUCAGAUGUGCCCAGAUGGGAUUAGCUAGUAGGUGGGGUAAUAGCUCACCUAGGCGACGAUCCCUAGCUGGUCUGAGAGGAUGACCAGCCACACUGGAACUGAGACACGGUCCAGACUCCUACGGGAGGCAGCAGUGGGGAAUAUUGCACAAUGGGCGCAAGCCUGAUGCAGCCAUGCCGCGUGUAUGAAGAAGGCCUUCGGGUUGUAAAGUACUUUCAGCGAGGAGGAAGGCAUUGUGGUUAAUAACCGCAGUGAUUGACGUUACUCGCAGAAGAAGCACCGGCUAACUCCGUGCCAGCAGCCGCGGUAAUACGGAGGGUGCAAGCGUUAAUCGGAAUUACUGGGCGUAAAGCGCACGCAGGCGGUCUGUCAAGUCGGAUGUGAAAUCCCCGGGCUCAACCUGGGAACUGCAUUCGAAACUGGCAGGCUAGAGUCUUGUAGAGGGGGGUAGAAUUCCAGGUGUAGCGGUGAAAUGCGUAGAGAUCUGGAGGAAUACCGGUGGCGAAGGCGGCCCCCUGGACAAAGACUGACGCUCAGGUGCGAAAGC